This 700-nucleotide ribosomal RNA is filed under the name uncultured Glomeromycotina. RNAcentral describes it as "SSU rRNA". It matches the Rfam family "Eukaryotic small subunit ribosomal RNA", at positions 346 to 1045 of the family's 1831-position model. The record is from RNAcentral. Lineage: Eukaryota; Fungi; Glomeromycota.
AUGGUGGUAACGGGUAACGGGGAAUUAGGGUUCGAUUCCGGAGAGGGAGCCUGAGAAACGGCUACCACAUCCAAGGAAGGCAGCAGGCGCGCAAAUUACCCAAUCCCGACACGGGGAGGUAGUGACAAUAAAUAACAAUACGGGGCUCUUUCGGGUCUCGUAAUUGGAAUGAGUACAAUUUAAAUCCCUUAACGAGGAACAAUUGGAGGGCAAGUCUGGUGCCAGCAGCCGCGGUAAUUCCAGCUCCAAUAGCGUAUAUUAAAGUUGUUGCAGUUAAAAAGCUCGUAGUUGAAUUUCGGGAUUGACACAUCGGUCGUGCCUUAAGGGGUAUGAACUGGUGUAGUCAAUUUCUCACCUUCUGGAGAACCGCGAUGCCCUUAAUUGGGUGUCGCGGGGAACCAGGACCUUUACUUUGAAAAAAUUAGAGUGUUUAAAGCAGGCAUUUUGCUUGAAUACAUUAGCAUGGAAUAAUAAAAUAGGACGGCAUGAUUCUAUUUUGUUGGUUUUAGGAUCACCGUAAUGAUUAAUAGGGAUAGUUGGGGGCAUUAGUAUUCAAUUGUCAGAGGUGAAAUUCUUGGAUUUAUUGAAGACUAACUACUGCGAAAGCAUUUGCCAAGGAUGUUUUCAUUAAUCAAGAACGAAAGUUAGGGGAUCGAAGACGAUCAGAUACCGUCGUAGUCUUAACCGUAAACUAUGCCGA